RNAcentral lists this ribosomal RNA (253 nucleotides) under uncultured bacterium. Its description in RNAcentral is "partial 16S ribosomal RNA". It matches the Rfam family "Bacterial small subunit ribosomal RNA", at positions 524 to 776 of the family's 1533-position model. The record is from RNAcentral.
UACGAGGGGUCUAAGCGUUGUUCGGAAUCACUGGGCGUAAAGCGGGUGUAGGUGGCUAUGCAAGUUAGAUGUGAAAGCCCCGGGCUCAACCCGGGAAGUGCAUCUAAAACUACGUAGCUUGAGUGCGGGAGAGAAAAGCAGAAUUCCUGGUGUAGUGGUGAAAUACGUAGAUAUCAGGAGGAACUCCGGUGGCGAAGGCGGCUUUUUGGCCCAGCACUGACACUCAGACCCGAAAGCGUGGGUAGCAAACAGG